AGUUUGGGUACGACCCUUGUUAUGGAACAUGACUUGCCCGUGUUAAUCUCGGCUUCUUUGUAUGAGAGGGGGUGUUGGUACCAACACGACCCAUGUCAACUGACACAUACCAACCAUGUUGGCCACAGGUUUUAUGUAUUGGGGGACUCCUCUUCUUGCAUUUUUUGUUCCUCUUUGACUCUUAGCAUUCCUUAUUAGCUUA
This 202-nucleotide long non-coding RNA is filed under the name Lathyrus oleraceus (garden pea). RNAcentral describes it as "Pisum sativum (pea) long non-coding RNA (PSAT_LNC022038)". Lineage: Eukaryota; Viridiplantae; Streptophyta; Magnoliopsida; Fabales; Fabaceae. The record is from RNAcentral.